GGUUCUCACAAUCUUUGACAGCCUUUAUGAGCAAUGUGUAUAAUGAAUUCUGUUUGCAAUUGGAGGGUUACAAUGUGAUUAUUUACUUAACACAAGAUCUGGGGUCUGCAAAGAAGUGAUACACACAAAAUCCUGGAGAAGCUCAGCAGGUCAAGCAGCAUCUAUCUAGAGGAAUAAAGGGUCAACGUUGUACACCAAAACGUCUCGAUUUCUCUAAUUUCAGAUGUCCAGAAGGAGAUGAGAAGCGCUAAAUCCCUGAGGAAAGGACCAUGAGAUGUUGCUUGUGAGUCAAAAGAGUUCCUUUCAGGUCCAAGGAUGACACUGAGCAACCCGUCCAGAAGAAGGAAGCCAUAUCUAAGAGUUGGCGAUGAUAAUUCCUCUUUGAAUAGAUACGAAAAAACGUUGUCAAGCCCUGUAUUAGACAAAACUGUGAAACGCUGCAAACCCUUGAAUAGGCGGAUGUGACUGGGUUACAGUCCCUUUGAUGUAGAUCUAAUUUUGGAACAUAAAAAACACCACAUUUAUCUUGAAGAGGAAUGAUGUGUUGUACGCGCAGAUGGAAAUUUCGAGUACUGAAAAGAUUAAAGUGAAAUUCCACUCCUCAGACCUAAUCAUGGGUUGUAGAUUAUAAUGUCGCUGUAACCAGAUGCGUCCUUCUGCAUCUUGGACCUACUUUCCAAAAGAUUAUAAUAAAGGGAUUAUGUUUGCUUCCUUGGCCAACUGGAAGGAUUUUUAUGUGAAUGAGUCUGGACAACAUGGACCCAUA
Long non-coding RNA from Hypanus sabinus (Atlantic stingray), 766 nucleotides. RefSeq lists it as uncharacterized. Lineage: Eukaryota; Metazoa; Chordata; Chondrichthyes; Myliobatiformes; Dasyatidae. The record is from RefSeq and is a predicted model, not a curated record. The transcript is spliced from 7 exons.